GACGAACGCUGGCGGCGUGCCUAAUACAUGCAAGUAGAACGCUGAAGAGGGGAGCUUGCUCUUCUUGGAUGAGUUGCGAACGGGUGAGUAACGCGUAGGUAACCUGCCUUGUAGCGGGGGAUAACUAUUGGAAACGAUAGCUAAUACCGCAUAACAAUGGAUGACACAUGUCAUUUAUUUGAAAGGGGCAAUUGCUCCACUACAAGAUGGACCUGCGUUGUAUUAGCUAGUAGGUGAGGUAAUGGCUCACCUAGGCGACGAUACAUAGCCGACCUGAGAGGGUGAUCGGCCACCCUGGGACUGAGACACGGCCCAGACUCCUACGGGAGGCAGCAGUAGGGAAUCUUCGGCAAUGGGGGCAACCCUGACCGAGCAACGCCGCGUGAGUGAAGAAGGUUUUCGGAUCGUAAAGCUCUGUUGUAAGUCAAGAACGGGUGUGAGAGUGGAAAGUUCACACUGUGACGGUAGCUUACCAGAAAGGGACGGCUAACUACGUGCCAGCAGCCGCGGUAAUACGUAGGUCCCGAGCGUUGUCCGGAUUUAUUGGGCGUAAAGCGAGCGCAGGCGGUUUGAUAAGUCUGAAGUUAAAGGCUGUGGCUCAACCAUAGUUCGCUUUGGAAACUGUCAAACUUGAGUGCAGAAGGGGAGAGUGGAAUUCCAUGUGUAGCGGUGAAAUGCGUAGAUAUAUGGAGGAACACCGGUGGCGAAAGCGGCUCUCUGGUCUGUAACUGACGCUGAGGCUCGAAAGCGUGGGGAGCGAACAGGAUUAGAUACCCUGGUAGUCCACGCCGUAAACGAUGAGUGCUAGGUGUUGGAUCCUUUCCGGGAUUCAGUGCCGCAGCUAACGCAUUAAGCACUCCGCCUGGGGAGUACGACCGCAAGGUUGAAACUCAAAGGAAUUGACGGGGGCCCGCACAAGCGGUGGAGCAUGUGGUUUAAUUCGAAGCAACGCGAAGAACCUUACCAGGUCUUGACAUCCCGAUGCUAUUUCUAGAGAUAGAAAGUUACUUCGGUACAUCGGUGACAGGUGGUGCAUGGUUGUCGUCAGCUCGUGUCGUGAGAUGUUGGGUUAAGUCCCGCAACGAGCGCAACCCCUAUUGUUAGUUGCCAUCAUUCAGUUGGGCACUCUAGCGAGACUGCCGGUAAUAAACCGGAGGAAGGUGGGGAUGACGUCAAAUCAUCAUGCCCCUUAUGACCUGGGCUACACACGUGCUACAAUGGUUGGUACAACGAGUUGCGAGUCGGUGACGGCGAGCUAAUCUCUUAAAGCCAAUCUCAGUUCGGAUUGUAGGCUGCAACUCGCCUACAUGAAGUCGGAAUCGCUAGUAAUCGCGGAUCAGCACGCCGCGGUGAAUACGUUCCCGGGCCU
This 1369-nucleotide ribosomal RNA is filed under the name uncultured bacterium. RNAcentral's name for it is "bacterial SSU rRNA". It matches the Rfam family "Bacterial small subunit ribosomal RNA", at positions 28 to 1381 of the family's 1533-position model. The record is from RNAcentral.